Molecule: long non-coding RNA, 1582 nt
Organism: Loxodonta africana (African savanna elephant)
Lineage: Eukaryota; Metazoa; Chordata; Mammalia; Proboscidea; Elephantidae
Exons: 3
Source: RefSeq, a predicted model, not a curated record
CCCGGCACGUGCGGACCGGAGGGCCGGCUGCCCAGCGCGCGGAGAGCCCCGCUCUGCCGACCGGCGCCCCUCCCAGUCUUAGCGCCCCUCAUUUGGGCAGGACGCUGUUCCCGGUGACCUGGGGGACGCCGCGGACGCCACAGGGGCCUUACCCAAGACAACGCCGUAUGGAACCCCCUGUGGGCAGCGCGGAAAGGAUAGCAGGGCGGAAGUGACGUCUUUAUAUACUCCGCUGUGAGCCAAUGCCAUUUCGUCCUUCUAACCGUGGUCAACACCCAGAAGAUGGCUUCGGUCUGAGAGUACAGAGAGUACAGAAGCAGGCGAGCGUCUGGGCCAUACAGACAGGAAGCAGCUGAGCUCCACCUCCUGGAGGCUGGGUGGGGACGCGAGAAGCUACCCUUUCCAGAGGCUGAGAAAUAUUAAAAAAAAAAAAAAAAAAACGGCCCCAAAUCCAGAACGCGGCAGAGCGAGCACCUGCACCGACAUCUUUCUCAAGUGAGAGGCAGAGGCUUGGGGAGGCAAAUCACCCCUGAAUGAGAACCACAGAUUUAAGGUAACACAACUAGUAAGAUGAGGAUUCCAACUUGGCCGUCUAGACCCACAGCCUGCACUCACGGUCCUUCUGCUGUGCUGGUCCUUGGCAUCUGUUAUGGAUUGUGUCUCCCCAGAAUAUGUGUUGUAAGUCCUAACUCCUGUACCUGUGGUGAUAGUCCCAUCUGGAAAUGGGUUUUGUCAUUUUAAUGAGACAGUAUUAGUGCAGGGUAUGUCUUAAGUCAUUCUCUUUUGAGAUAUAUAAGAGAUUAAACAAGGAAGUGGGCAGCAGAGAUGCGGGAAGAGAGAUGCCAUGCCACAUUAAGGUCACCAAGGUGCCAACGAAUAGAAGCUGAAAGAGACAAGGGCCUUCCCCCAGAGCUGAGAGAGAAAGAAAGCCUCCCCCUGGAGCCAGCACCCUGAAUUCAGACUUCUGGCCUCCUAACUGUAAGAAAAUAAAUCUCCGUAUGUUAAAGCCAUCCACUGGUGGCAUUUUUGUUAGAGCAGCUCUAGGUAACUGAGAUAGCCUCCUUCUGUAAGAGCUUUCUUAUGUUAUUGCUCCAAAAUAAGCAUAGAUCUGGGCCAUGACUCAGCAGACUCAGAAAGAUCAAAAUGGAGUGCCUGCCCACCACCACCAUCCUUUGGCCAUAUUUUUUUAUCUGGUUAGUACUGUAAAAUGCAGCUCUUCCCUGGGCUCUCAGCCUUGCCUCUCCUGAAUCUAUGCACUGUUCCAGGUAAAUCCUAUUGGGACUUUUCAAAGUCUUUGGGUUUCAGUGCUGCCAGGAAUCCUCCUGGCCUGGCCUCCAAGCUGUUUCUUGGUCUUCCCUGCUCCCAGAUGCUCUUGGCCUGGCCCCCCUUGCCCAGGGUGCUGUCUUCAGUUCCCUUCCCCUCUUCACCUAUACAGCACUAGCCAAGGCCAGACCCCCAGAUGCCCCUGCAUGACUGACGGGGAGCUGGAGUGUCAUCAAAGCGUCCACAUCAGACAGGUAAGCUGGCUAAGAAUUUCACCAGGCUCUUAACAGAACAUACAUGUCACUGUUCAGCAGGUCCU